CAGGUCUUCCACGCCAGUACGGACUAGAAGUCGGCCGCGGUCGGAGGUCUCGACAGGGUGCUCUUCACGUCCGUCGGCUCCCCCUCCGCACUUCGCUUCACUGAUAAAGACCCGUGAUCUAUUUGAGACUUCUGAGGCGGAUUCUGCUCUCAUCUCGGUCCGUAUUCUUAGUCGAGGGCGUCUGUCGCGUCACCUUGCCCUCCUGGACCCUGUCGAUCUCAGGUGACUUCAAGUAGGAAAGGUUGCUGUUGAUGUAGCGUUUGGUGGUCGCGUUUUCUGUCGGCGAGCGAGCAAGCGUUCGCUGUGACCAGCAUCCGGAGAGGGAGGGCGCUGCGGGGGGGAGGGGGGGGACUUUCGAAACUUGUUGCUCAGCGUAACGACUUGUUUCCAGGACGCUGUGUAUUGUGGCGUAGGAACAGGCAGCGCGUCGCCCGUUUCUCUCUAAAGCGAGGGCACUAAGUGCGAUGGAGUAGUGGUGACGCCAUCUAUGCGCAUGGUUUGGAAAUGACUAAUUACGUUAUUAGUGCGCUUGGUGCAGGAACUGAGGCGAGGCACGACAUGCAGAACUGAAUGCAAGGUGAAAGCAGCAUCACAUGUAUAAUGGGACCAAACACCGAUAAGAGUCAUUUCCAUAUUCAUGAAGUCUUUUAAGAAACUGCAACGGGAAAGCUGCAGUCGACGUAUUUCCGUAUCCAUUCACUUGCAACAAGAUCCUAAUUCUCCGUGUGUGUAGGAGAACCAUCACGGCCGGAGAAGCAUCUACCACACACAACCACACUACCCAAUCAACCCUACCAUACCCCAACCUCACACUACCUCCUAUCCUCCAUCCCCAUCCCUAAC
This 843-nucleotide long non-coding RNA is filed under the name Penaeus japonicus. Its description in RNAcentral is "uncharacterized LOC122253965". Lineage: Eukaryota; Metazoa; Arthropoda; Malacostraca; Decapoda; Penaeidae. The record is from RNAcentral.